RNAcentral lists this ribosomal RNA (240 nucleotides) under Pseudopedinella elastica. RNAcentral describes it as "partial Bacterial small subunit ribosomal RNA". It matches the Rfam family "Bacterial small subunit ribosomal RNA", at positions 93 to 333 of the family's 1533-position model. The record is from RNAcentral. Lineage: Eukaryota; Dictyochophyceae; Pedinellales.
GACCGGCGCACGGGUGCGUAACGCGUAUACAAUCUACCUUGUACAGGGGAAUAGCCCAGAGAAAUUUGGAUUAAUGCCCCAUAGUAUUAUUGAAUGGCAUCAUUUAAUAAUUAAAAUUACGGUGGUACAAGAUGAGUAUGCGUUCUAUUAGCUAGAUGGUAAGGUAACGGCUUACCAUGGCUACGAUAGAUAGGGGUCCUGAGAGGGAGAUCCCCCACACUGGUACUGAGACACGGACCA